RNAcentral lists this long non-coding RNA (238 nucleotides) under Gallus gallus (chicken). RNAcentral describes it as "long non-coding RNA NONGGAT004092". Lineage: Eukaryota; Metazoa; Chordata; Aves; Galliformes; Phasianidae. The record is from RNAcentral.
CGAAGACCCCCGCCCCGGGAGGACGGCGGUGCGCGAGUCUCAGUCCGACCCCCCCGCCAGCCCCACCUCCACUGACACUUUACAUCACGCCGCAGGCCGAGCCAGACGGGCGAGCAAUACAAGCUGUGAAUUUAUUGUUGACACCUGCAGGACAGUGACCACCUUCGCCGUCGUCUUCGCCAUACAGAGAUGCGCUGUCAGUGAGGAUCGCAGGUAUGGGCAUCACUGCAAACAGGAA